UACGGAGGGUGCAAGCGUUAUCCGGAUUCGCUGGGUUUAAAGGGUGCGUAGGUGGGUUGGUAAGUCAGUGGUGAAAUCCCCGGGCUUAACUUGGGAACUGCCAUUGAUACUAUUAAUCUUGAAUACCGUGGAGGUUAGCGGAAUAUGUCAUGUAGCGGUGAAAUGCUUAGAUAUGACAUAGAACACCAAUUGCGAAGGCAGCUGGCUACACGAAUAUUGACGCUGAGGCACGAAAGCGUGGGGAGCAAACAGG
RNAcentral lists this ribosomal RNA (253 nucleotides) under uncultured bacterium. RNAcentral describes it as "partial 16S ribosomal RNA". It matches the Rfam family "Bacterial small subunit ribosomal RNA", at positions 524 to 776 of the family's 1533-position model. The record is from RNAcentral.